UGGUGAACCAGCGGAGGGAUCAUUACCGAGUUUACAACUCCCAAACCCUUAUGUGAACCAUACCUAUCGUUGCUUCGGCGGGGACGCCCCGGCUCUCCGAGCCCGGACCCAGGCGCCCGCCGGAGACCCCAAACUCUUGUAUUUGUUUCAGUAUUUUCUCUGAGUGGCAAACGUAAAAAAUAAAUCAAAACUUUUAACAACGGAUCUCUUGGCUCUGG
This 218-nucleotide unclassified non-coding RNA is filed under the name uncultured fungus. RNAcentral's name for it is "partial contains 18S rRNA, ITS1 and 5.8S rRNA". Lineage: Eukaryota; Fungi. The record is from RNAcentral.